This 109-nucleotide transfer RNA is filed under the name Hymenobacter monticola. RNAcentral describes it as "tRNA-OTHER". It matches the Rfam family "tRNA". From Rfam's summary of the family: Transfer RNA (tRNA) molecules are approximately 80 nucleotides in length. Their secondary structure includes four short double-helical elements and three loops (D, anti-codon, and T loops). Further hydrogen bonds mediate the characteristic L-shaped molecular structure. tRNAs have two regions of fundamental functional importance: the anti-codon, which is responsible for specific mRNA codon recognition, and the 3' end, to which the tRNAs corresponding amino acid is attached (by aminoacyl-tRNA synthetases). tRNAs cope with the degeneracy of the genetic code in two manners: having more than one tRNA (with a specific anti-codon) for a particular amino acid; and 'wobble' base-pairing, i.e. permitting non-standard base-pairing at the 3rd anti-codon position. The record is from RNAcentral. Lineage: Bacteria; Pseudomonadati; Bacteroidota; Cytophagia; Cytophagales; Hymenobacteraceae.
GAAGCAGUAGCUCAGGGGUAGAGCAUAACAGCGGUGGAAUUACCUUCUCGGGUCAACCGGCGCUUACUUCCAAAUUUUAGGGUCGUUGGUUCGAAUCCAACCUGCUUCA